Molecule: ribosomal RNA, 499 nt
Filed under: uncultured bacterium
Lineage: Bacteria
Description: partial 16S ribosomal RNA
Rfam family: Bacterial small subunit ribosomal RNA
Source: RNAcentral
GACGAACGCUGGCGGCGUGCUUAACACAUGCAAGUCGAACGGGCCUGUCUUCUUUUUUGGGGGUGGGUUGAAUGGCGAACGGGUGAGUAUCACGUGAGUAACCUGCCCUUCGGUCCUGGAUAACCGCUUGAAAGGGCGGCUAAUACGGGGUGGUCCGGUUGGUCCGCAUGGGCUGGUCGGGAUAGAUUCACUGUUUUUGGUGUUUCGGCGGGGGAUGGGCUCGCGGCCUAUCAGCUUGUUGGUGGGGUGAUGGCCUACCAAGGCGGUGACGGGUAGCCGGCCUGAGAGGGUGGGCGGCCACACUGGGACUGAGAUACGGCCCAGACUCCUGCGGGAGGCAGCAGUGGGGGGGAUUGCACAAUGGGCGGAAGCCUGAUGCAGCGACGUCGCGUGAGGGAUGGAGGCCUUCGGGUUGUGAACCUCUGUUUCCGGUGGUGAAGGCCCUGUCCGUGUGGUGGGGUUGACGGUAGCCGGGGAUGAAGCGCCGGCUAACUACGUG